GAAAUGCGAGAAAAAUCUCUCCAUCGUCUUCGAAACCAGACCGUCCUCCAUUAAAGCUAUUUCUGUUACCUUCACAAAAUCAAACCCUAGAAAUCCUAGUAAAGGGGAUAAAAAACCCCAUCAAAAUGGUUUUCAUAAGAACCCCAACAAGCACCAACAAAACCCUAUACAUUCACACAAACCCUACCAGCACAACCCUUCAUGCCCUCAAACACCAAAUUCAACUCCAAACCCAAAUCCCAAUAUCUCAACAAAAUCUUCUUCUUCCGAAGAUUUGCCAAAAUCCAAAUACCCUUUUGCUGUCUCAACUUGACAUUGCCAAUAACACAACCCUAACCCUUCACAUCCCUUUACUUGGGGGGAUGCAAGCUCCGGUCGCACCGAAAUCCCGACUGGAUUUUUUAAAUUCAAAGCCUCCAGCUAAUUAUGUUGCGGGGUUAGGGCGUGGUGCUACUGGUUUUACUACUCGUUCUGAUAUUGGUCCGGCACGGGCUGCACCGGAUUUGCCUGAUAGGAAUGCCGGGGCGGCAGCUGCGGGGCCAGGGGGUGGUGCGGGGCGGGGGAAAGGGGGGAAAGGAGGGGAGGACGAGGAUGAGGACGAGAGUGAGGAAAAAGGUUAUGAUGAGAAUCAGAAGUUUGAUGAGUUUGAAGGAAAUGAUGUGGGGUUGUUUGCUUCUGCGGAGUAUGAUGAGGACGAUAGGGAGGCAGAUGCAGUGUGGGAGGAGAUUGAUAAGAGGAUGGAUUCGAGGAGGAAGGAUAGAAGGGAAGCUAGGUUAAAGGAGGAAAUUGAAAAGUAUAGGGCUUCGAAUCCGAAGAUUACUGAGCAGUUUGCUGAUUUGAAGAGGAAGUUAGUAACAUUGUCUGCUGAAGAGUGGGAGACUAUUCCAGAUAUCGGGGAUUAUUCAUUGAGGAAUAAGAAGAAGAGGUUUGAGAGUUUUGUGCCGGUUCCGGAUACUUUGUUGGAGAAAGCUAGACAGGAGCAGGAACAUGUUACUGCAUUGGAUCCUAAAAGUAGGGCGGCUGGCGGAGCUGAGACGCCAUGGGGGCAGACGCCAGUCACAGAUUUGACUGCUGUUGGAGAAGGAAGAGGGACUGUUUUGUCAUUGAAGUUGGAUAGGUUGUCAGAUUCGGUUUCUGGGUUGACUGUUGUUGAUCCUAAAGGGUAUUUGACUGAUUUGAAGAGUAUGAAGAUUACUAGUGAUGCAGAGAUUUCGGAUAUUAAGAAGGCUAGGUUGUUGUUGAAGAGUGUUACACAGACGAAUCCAAAACAUCCCCCUGGUUGGAUUGCUGCGGCAAGGUUAGAAGAGGUGGCAGGGAAGAUUCAGGCGGCUAGGCUGUUGAUACAAAAAGGGUGCGAGGAAUGUCCUACGAAUGAGGAUGUCUGGUUGGAGGCUUGCAGGUUGUCGAAUCCUGAUGAAGCGAAGGGGGUUAUUGCAAAGGGAGUUAAGAGGAUUCCCAAUUCCGUCAAGUUGUGGAUGCAGGCUGCGAAAUUGGAGAAUGAUGAUUUUACUAAGCGGAAGGUUUUGUUGAAGGGUUUAGAGCAUAUCCCGGAUUCUGUGAGGCUGUGGAAAGCAGCGGUGGAGUUGUGUAAUGAGGAGGAUGCUAGGACUUUACUUGGUAGGGCAGUGGAAUGCUGUCCUUUGCAUGUUGAGUUGUGGUUAGCAUUUGCAAGGUUGGAGACGUAUGAAAAUGCGAGGAAGGUGUUGAAUAGGGCGAGAGAAAAGUUGCCCAAGGAGCCAGCUAUAUGGAUUACUGCUGCCAAGUUGGAGGAGGCAAAUGGGAAUACACCAAUGGUUGGGAAGCUUAUUGAGAGAGGUAUUAGGGCUUUGCAGAGAGAAGGGGUGGUGAUUGAUAGGGAGGAAUGGAUGAAGGAGGCUGAGGCAGCGGAGAGGGCUGGUUCUGUGGCAACUUGUCAAGCGAUUAUUAAGAACACAAUUGGAAUUGGAGUCGAAGAAGAGGAUAGAAAGCGAACAUGGGUGGCGGAUGCAGAGGAGUGUAAGAAGAGGGGGUCUAUUGAGACUGCUAGAGCAAUUUAUGCGCAUGCAUUGACGGUGUUUUUGACUAAGAAGAGUAUUUGGCUUAAGGCAGCACAGCUUGAGAAGAGUCAUGGCACAAGAGAAUCCCUCGAUGCAUUGCUACGGAAGGCAGUUACUUACAGGCCACAGGCUGAAGUUCUAUGGCUUAUGGGCGCUAAAGAGAAGUGGCUUGCUGGAGAUGUACCUUCUGCCCGAGCCAUUCUUCAAGAAGCUUAUGCUGCUAUACCGAACUCUGAGGAGAUUUGGCUUGCAGCAUUUAAGCUUGAAUUUGAGAAUCAUGAGCCAGAAAGAGCUAGAAUGUUGCUAGCUAAGGCAAGAGAAAGAGGUGGUACAGAAAGAGUCUGGAUGAAGUCUGCAAUUGUAGAAAGAGAAUUAGGCAAUAUCGAGGAGGAGAGGAAACUGCUGGAUGAAGGGUUGCAGCGUUUCCCUUCAUUCUUCAAACUGUGGUUGAUGCUUGGGCAGCUCGAGGAGCGUCUUGGUAAUUUGGAUAAAGCCAAGGAAAUUUAUGAGGCGGGUUUGAAGUCCUGCCCAAGUCAUGUGCCUCUUUGGCUUUCUCUUGCUAACCUCGAGGAGAAAACAAAUGGGCUCAGUAAAGCUCGAGCAGUGCUUACCAUGGCAAGGAAGAAGAAUCCUAAGAACCCUGAACUUUGGCUGGCUGCAAUCCGUGCUGAAUCAAGGCAUGGGAAUAAUAAGGAAGCUGAUAACUUGAUGGCAAAAGCAUUGCAGGAAUGUCCUACCAGUGGCAUACUUUGGGCAGCAUCUAUUGAGAUGGCUCCUCGUGCUCAACAUAAAAGCAAGAGCGCGGAUGCAAUUAAGAAAUGUAGUCCUCAUGAUCCACAUGUUACAACUGCUGUGGCCAAGUUGUUCUGGCGGGAAAGGAAGGUUGACAAAGCUAGGAGUUGGCUGAACAGGGCAGUUACCCUUGCCCCAGAUAUUGGAGAUUUCUGGGCGUAUUACUACAAAUUUGAACUUCAGCAUGGGAAUGAGGAAGACCAGAAGGAUGUCUUGAAGAGGUGCAUUGCUGCAGAACCAAAGCAUGGUGAAAAAUGGCAAACGAUUUCAAAGGCUGUGGAGAACUCUCACCAGCCUACUGAAGCCAUCUUGAAGAAAGUGGUGGUUGUUCUUGGGAAGGAAGAGAGUGCUUCUGAAAAUAAUGACCAUUAGUUCCUUACUAGCAUGUGUACAAAAUUAUGCCUGGAAGCUGCAACAAGUUCAGGAAUCACACGAGUCCUGGAUCUGGCAUUAGAGGGAUAGGAAGUAGUAGGAUGCUGAUUUGUCUAAAGUGAACGAGUUCAGUUGAGUGUCGAAGGUUGAAGAUGGAAAAACUUUGGAAUGAUGGCAUGUAUUCAGUCCAGAUAUCUCUCAUUGGUUCUUGAUCAUCUGCCGGAACUAUUUUCUUAUACUGGCACCUUGAAGACUUUCGCUUGCUGUUUGUUUCAUAAACUAUUAUCCUCUUGUUAUGUGUUGUUUGGUUGCCCUUUUAACCCUCAGGCCUCAAGGGAUGUGUACGCCGCUGCUGCUGCUGAGGCGAAUUGCUCAAUGUGACUGGAUCUUGCUCUUGCUGCGUGCAUGUAAUUGUGGUUGUCUUUUCGGUAUUUUAGCCCAGGUGGCUUACCUUUUCUUUUUGGCUGCUGCUGGCCUCCUUUUGGGAUGAAUUUUGUUCCCGGCUGCUGAUACGUGAUGUUUCUGGGCUGUUGGCUGCAGCUUCUGUACUGUUCCUUUUCCCUUCAUGGCUCAAUAAUUAAUACAAUAAAAGAGCUUUUGAGAGUUGAAACCUGACACAA
This is an RNA transcript of Populus trichocarpa (black cottonwood), 3820 nucleotides long. It is a transcript of the gene named protein STABILIZED1, with no coding region annotated. The transcript is spliced from 3 exons. NCBI's taxonomy places the organism in Eukaryota, Viridiplantae, Streptophyta, Magnoliopsida, Malpighiales, Salicaceae. The record is from RefSeq and is a predicted model, not a curated record.